CAGAUUGGCGAAAUGAGAAGCAUAAACCACCGGUUCAUUCGGUGAAUUCUUCCUGCAGCUCAUUCAGGAUAUACUCCCCAAACCCACCCUUCUCGUCCAUGGUGCAGCCCACUUGACGUGCACUGAUCCUCCAGCAGGAUGACUGACGAGAGAGGCUGGCUGCUCCCUGGGAGUCAACUCGUCCAGGAGGGAAGAAAGAGCAACUGUAACCCUUGACACAACCCUCACCUCUCCCUAUGACACCUCAGUAAUCACCUGGGCUGGACUUCACUGCAUUGUCUGAUUACAGACACGCUGCAGGAGGUCACUCACCUUCCACCAGGUGAUGCUGAGUCUCAGCAGAGGACUGGACACUCACUGCAACACAUCCAUCUGUGCCUCUUAUCUGCCGCUGUCACUCAUCCAUCAACCAAGAUAUGUUCCUGCAGCCCAUGAAGGAGGCCUGAGAUAUGAUCGCUGAGCAGAACAGAGCUGGCAGUAGCCUGGUCUGCAGCGGGUCACAGCUGUCAAACAGAUCAGCAGGACUUCUCUCUACGCCGAGCCAACAGCUGUCUAUUAAGAAUACUCUGGAUCGUCAUCAGCGGCAAACUCCUCAGCUCACAACUCGCCUCAUUACCGCCCCUUAAUGGAGGGAAGACAGAGACAAGAGGAACGUGCUUCGGUGUUUGGACGGAGGAAGUUUUGGAUCCUUCCUGACAUGUCUGGACUGACUGACUGAUUCCCCCGACAGACUCGGACACGCUGAAUCCCUCGUCAGCGUCCGUGACCUCAGUGAUUGGACGUGAACCCAAUGGCUGAAGAGAUUAAGUUCGUAUGCAGCUUCCUCUGGACAUCAUUUCAUUAAAGAUCGUCAGCUUCUUUAGUGUGAG
Solea solea (common sole) is the source of this 869-nucleotide long non-coding RNA. RefSeq lists it as uncharacterized. The transcript is spliced from 5 exons. NCBI's taxonomy places the organism in Eukaryota, Metazoa, Chordata, Actinopteri, Pleuronectiformes, Soleidae. The record is from RefSeq and is a predicted model, not a curated record.